AGCUCCAAUAGCGUAUAUUAAAGUUGUUGCAGUUAAAAAGCUCGUAGUCCGAUUUCUGGUUUAAAGGAUCUGUCUUGCCUCACGGCAAGAACUGUGUCCCUUGAACCAUCCUUGGACGGAUCCUACCUGGUAUUAACUUAUUGGGUUGGCUAAGUUCAUCAUUUACUGUGAGAAAAUUAGGGUGUUCAAAGCAGGCUUAUGCCUGAAUAUAUUAGCAUGGAAUAACAAUAUAGGACCUCGGUACUAUUUUGUUGGUUUGCGCACUGGGGUAAUGGUCAAUAGGGAUAGAUUGUGGGUAUUGGUAUUCCAGUGUCAGAGGUGAAAUUCUUAAAUUACUGGAAGACUAACUACUGCGAAAGCAUUUACCAAGGAUGUUUUCAUUGAUCAAGAACGAAAGUAG
This 400-nucleotide ribosomal RNA is filed under the name phytoplankton environmental sample. RNAcentral's name for it is "partial small subunit ribosomal RNA". It matches the Rfam family "Eukaryotic small subunit ribosomal RNA", at positions 587 to 992 of the family's 1831-position model. The record is from RNAcentral.